CAGUCGCCGCGGGAAUACGUAGGGUUCAAGCGUUAAUCGGAAUUACUGGGCGUAAAGCGUGCGCAGGCGGUUAUAUAAGACAGAUGUGAAAUCCCCGGGCUCAACCUGGGAACUGCAUUUGUGACUGUAUAGCUAGAGUACGGCAGAGGGGGAUGGAAUUCCGCGUGUAGCAGUGAAAUGCGUAGAUAUGCGGAGGAACACCGAUGGCGAAGGCAAUCCCCUGGGCCUGUACUGACGCUCAUGCACGAAAGCGUGGGGAGCAAACAGGAUUAGAUACCCGUGUAGUCCCUGUCUCUUAUAC
Molecule: ribosomal RNA, 301 nt
Filed under: uncultured bacterium
Lineage: Bacteria
Description: partial 16S ribosomal RNA
Rfam family: Bacterial small subunit ribosomal RNA
Source: RNAcentral